UAUACUCAUCGAAUUUCCGUA
This 21-nucleotide non-coding RNA is filed under the name Caenorhabditis elegans. The record is from RNAcentral. Lineage: Eukaryota; Metazoa; Nematoda; Chromadorea; Rhabditida; Rhabditidae.